RNAcentral lists this small RNA (3708 nucleotides) under Histoplasma capsulatum. RNAcentral's name for it is "hypothetical RNA". Lineage: Eukaryota; Fungi; Ascomycota; Eurotiomycetes; Onygenales; Ajellomycetaceae. The record is from RNAcentral. RNAcentral also lists the same sequence under 1 other name.
UCAACACACAGUUCCCAGGUUGACUAUUUUGAACGGGAAAAGGUCAAUUAUCGACUAUCGCCUCUUUGUAUGUUCAUAUUCUUACACAAGAGGUGCGGGCUCUUUUGCCUACUGGAUAACAUUUAGGGAAGUUCAAUCAACUACUCCCCCGCUAUUCAACGAAAGAGCCUUUCCUCUCCGACACGAAUUGAAUAAAAGGCGCAGUGUCUUCCUUGGUUAGAAAAACUCCCUGGAGUACGAUCGUUAAUUGCUCGAAAAGACCAUUCUUUCCGAAUUAUUUCAACAACCCUCACUCCAGAACGCUAGUGUCUCAAGCCAAAAUGUCUUCCCCUGAGAAAAAGAAUUAUUUUCAAGUUCUGCAAAGGUUUAAGCCAGAUUAUUCUCCCAACUACUUCACCCAGUAUGAAUCCGAGAGGACGGGGAUGAAGGUGGUGGUCAUUGACCAGAAAGGCCCAAAGGUUUCGGGGUAUUUUGUUCUUGCCACAGAGAUUCUUGAUGAUUCUGGUGCACCUCACACUUUAGAGCAUCUUUGCUUUAUGGGAUCUAGAAACUAUCAAUACAAAGGGUUCCUUGAUAAGCUUGCUACUAGAGCCUAUUCCCAUACAAAUGCCUGGACUUCUACAGACCACACCGCAUACACGUUGUAUACUGCGGGCUGGGCUGGAUUUGCACAAAUUCUGCCCGUCUACCUUGAGCAUAUCAUUGAUCCCACUUUAACGGAUGCCGGUUGCUAUACUGAAGUGUACCAUGUUGACGGUACGGGCAAUGAUGCAGGUGUGGUCUAUUCGGAAAUGCAGGGCGUACAGAAUAAAUCAUCUGAAUUGAUAGAUUUGAAAUGCCGACGCCUGCUGUAUCCGGAAGGCAUUGGCUUCCGUUACGAAACUGGUGGAAUGAUGGAACAACUCCGGGUUCUGACAGCCGAACGUAUCCGUGCAUUCCACAGGAAGAUGUAUCAGCCGAAAAACCUAUGCUUAAUCAUUACGGGAGAAGUUGACCACGACAACAUGUUGCAAAUUCUGAAUGUAUUUGAGAGCACGGUCCUUGACGUGAUCCCAAGCCCUAAUGACCCCUUCAGAAGACCCUGGAUGGAAUCGCAACCAAUACCCCCGCUAGAGAGGUCGAUUGUAGAGAAAGUUGAAUUCCCCGAAGCAGAUGAAUCUUUCGGCGAGAUUGAGAUUCGAUUUCUUGGUCCGGAUUGCAGUGAUACCCUCCUUAGUGAUGCGCUCGAUGUGGUUCUUCUCUAUCUUGCGGGUUCCUCCGCAACGAUCCUUGAAAACACCCUUGUGGAGAAAGAACAUCUCACAAGCGCUGUGUAUUACUCCACAUCCCAGACACCUCGAACCGAAAUCUCUUUCACCCUCACCAGUGUAGCCACCGAAAAGCUUGAGCAGGUCGAGCGGCGCUUCUUUGAGGUGUUAAAAGAGGCCAUGCAAAACGAGAUUGAUGUGGAAUAUAUGCAGGAGUGUGUGCGAAGGCAACGUCGGAGCUGGAAAUUCUCCACUGAGUCCUCGGUCUCCCCUUUUGCGCACUAUGUAAUCUGCGAUUUCUUGUUCGGCAAGCGGGAUGGCUCUACUCUUCGCCACGUUGCAAGUCUUCACGAGUACGAUGAGUUGGAAAAGUGGCACGACCACCAAUGGCGCGCUUUCAUCAAACAAUGGAUAUCCGAUGCCCCCCAUGUGUCAAUACUAGGAGUGCCGUCCUCCAAACUUGCCACCAAAUUGAAGGAGGACGAACAAUCCAGAAUCGCAGAACGGAAGAGAGCUCUUGGAGAGGAAGGCCUAAAAAAAUUAGCGGAAAAGUUGGAGGAGGCCAAGGCCGCAAACGACAAGCCUAUACCUCAGGGAGAACUGACCAAAUUCGAAAUUCCUGGGGUGGAAUCCAUUCCUUUCAUCAAGACAACAACAGCAAAAUCGGGACUUGCUCUUAGCACGGGUCGUCCUAAUAACCGAAUUCAACAACUAGUCGAUGCGGAUGCGCCGGAUUCGCCUUUGUUCAUUCAUUUUGAGCACGUCGCCAGCAACUUCAUCCAGAUCUUCCUGAAUAUCUCAACCACAUCUGUGCCAGCAGAACUGCGUCCGCUUCUAGCCGUAUACAUGCAAGCUUACUUCAACCUUCCUGUUCUUCGAAAUGGAGAAAAAGUUCCCUUUGAGCAAGUCAUUGUCGAACUGGAGCGGGACACAGUUUCCUACAAUAUGGACAUUGGGCAUCAUAACCCUGAGAUGCUCAUCAUUAGCUUCCAAGCGGAACCAGACAAGUAUGAUGCUAUCAUAUCCUACAUCACCGAACUUUCAUGGGAAUCUAUAUUUGACGUGGAGCGGUUGAAGGCCAUCACCACUCGGUUGCUCUCUGAUGUUCCAGAUGCUAAGCGUAAUGGGAGUCGUAUGGUAGAUGCGGUGCAAACGAUGGUCUCACACACCCAGGAGUCAAUUGUCCGUGCCAUGACACCUCUAACUAGAGCUUUAUAUCUGAAACGUACCAAACGCCAGCUUGAGCAAAACCCUGAAGUCGUUGUGGCCCGAAUGGAAAUCAUUAGGAAGCAGCUCUUCCGAUUCGAAAAUUUCCGAAUAUUUGUCAUCGCAGAUAUGGAUAAACUUCGCAACCCUUCAUCAGCGUGGGGGCCAUUCGUCAGUCGACUGGAUGUUACUCAGCCACUCAGUCCGAUCAUACAACUACGAGAUCGUCUGAAAGAUGUGGCCAAAAACCCGGGGACCAUGGCGCAUCUCGUUCCGAUGACGACCAUUGACUCCUCCUUUGUGCUCACCAGCGCCAAGGGUCUGGACUCCUACAACCAUCCCAAACUCCCGGCCCUCUUGGUGACCAUUGCCUAUAUGAAUGCGGUGGAAGGGCCACUGUGGGUAGCUAUCCGCGGCACGGGGCUGGCUUAUGGCUCUCGAUUCCUACACGACGUGGAUACCCCCCCAAUGUAUACAGGGCCUUUGAGGAGGGAAAGAAAAUUGUCGAAAACCAUUUGUCUGGGGCGGAACAAUUCGACCCACAUAUGGCCCUCGAGGGCGCCAUCAGCAGCAUCGUGCUUGAUUUCGUCAAUGAGGAGACAACGCAAGCUAGUACAGCACUGGCCAGUUUUGUCCGGCAGGUCAUCCGGGGAUUGCCCAGUGACUACCAGGAGAAGCUACUGCGGAAAGUUAGGGAGAUUGGUAUUGAGGAGAUCAAGGAGAUUCUAAGGGAUUUUGUCUUGCCCCUUUUUACGCCUGGCAAGUCUGAUAUCAUAAUUGCCUGCGGGAGGGUGCUUGAAGAGCCUAUCAAGAAGGGCUUCGAAGGAGUUGGCUACAAACCGGAAGUGCGCAGUCUGAAAUUCUUUGAGGAUGACUAUGGAUUGAAGCUCGAGGGAGGCGAAGACGACGAGGACGAGGAUGGGGAUGAGGACGAGGAAGCCGAGGAAUCGGGGAGUGAUGACAGCAUGGACAACGAUGAUGAAAUGGCAAAUUGACAUUUACUUAUUGCAUGAGACCGAGUAGACUUCAACGUAACAGGGGAAUCAUAGAUGCGACUGGCACCGGCUAUACUGUUUUCAACGCAAGAAUAAACGCAUAGAUAGCUGUCUACGGAUUCUGGGUUUCUUCCUCAGCAUUUGACUAUCAAUCAAUCUACUAGUAAUCUUGAUAUGGCAAUUGACAAACGAACAAGAUAUGUGUGUUUGUGUAACAUGCAAGAAGGCCAGCUUGCAGGAACCAACCACCAACACCAGAC